This is a non-coding RNA of Cordylochernes scorpioides, 74 nucleotides long. Lineage: Eukaryota; Metazoa; Arthropoda; Arachnida; Pseudoscorpiones; Chernetidae. The record is from the annotation of a GenBank genome assembly.
UUCCUUUGAAUGGGAAUCGAACCCACAGAGUUCCGCUUACCGGGCAGAUGCCAUGUCCACUAGGCUACUCUGGA